Molecule: ribosomal RNA, 492 nt
Filed under: uncultured Streptococcus sp.
Lineage: Bacteria; Bacillati; Bacillota; Bacilli; Lactobacillales; Streptococcaceae
Description: bacterial SSU rRNA
Rfam family: Bacterial small subunit ribosomal RNA
Source: RNAcentral
ACGCUGGCGGCGUGCCUAAUACAUGCAAGUAGAACGCUGAAGGAAGGAGCUUUGCUCUUUUCCGGAUGAGUUGCAACGGGUGAGUAACGCGUAGGUAACCUGCCUGGUAGCGGGGGAUAACUAUUGGAAACGAUAGCUAAUACCGCAUAACAGUAGAUAUCGCAUGAUAGCUGCUUGAAAGGUGCAAAUGCACCACUACCAGAUGGACCUGCGUUGUAUUAGCUAGUUGGUGAGGUAACGGCUCACCAAGGCAACGAUACAUAGCCGACCUGAGAGGGUGAUCGGCCACACUGGGACUGAGACACGGCCCAGACUCCUACGGGAGGCAGCAGUAGGGAAUCUUCGGCAAUGGACGGAAGUCUGACCGAGCAACGCCGCGUGAGUGAAGAAGGUUUCGGAUCGUAAAGCUCUGUUGUAAGAGAAGAACGAGUGUGAGAGUGGAAAGUUCACACUGUGACGGUAUCUUACCAGAAAGGGACGGCUAACUACGUG